Gymnogyps californianus (California condor) is the source of this 1294-nucleotide long non-coding RNA. RefSeq lists it as uncharacterized. Lineage: Eukaryota; Metazoa; Chordata; Aves; Accipitriformes; Cathartidae. The transcript is spliced from 4 exons. The record is from RefSeq and is a predicted model, not a curated record.
ACUGAUCUCGCUGUAAGUGUUAGAGCUGCCUCACCAAUGUCUAAACGAUAUAACCGAGAGCUGUGAAGGGAGACAUCAGAGGGAAGAGCAGCACUUGGCACCUGCUGGACCAGCUUGCAGAGCCUGCAUCUGUGACCAUGACAUGCUUAACUUCAGAGAACUCAUUAUUACUUCCAUUGUGCUCUAGCAGUUUUCAUCCUUCACAGUCAGAGAUUCACAUCUGAUACAAUCUGCUAAGUACUUUGUAUGUUCAUACGGCUGCCAUCCUUGGGAGAUUUCUCAACCGCCUUGCAAUAUCUGAGGAGUUUCUCUGGUGCUUUUUGUAGAAGUGAAUGAUUGCCAGCUCCCCAGCAAAACUUCUGCAGCUCCAGUAAUGGACUUUUUUCUGAAUCACAGUAAGAAUUACCUCUGCUGGAGUUCAGCCCUGAUACAAUCUGCCACCACAAGGUCUAUGCCCUGUGAAAGUCCUGUUUCAAGGGUGAAUUUUACUCUUCUGGAUAACAUUUACAGCUUGCAGCUAGCAAAUGACUUGUACUUGAGUAUCCUUGCACAUCUGAAUCAUGGCAUUGAAUAUUUGAUGGAAACCUGCCAAUUUUAUGAAAAGUAAGGAUUUUGCUAAAUGUACAUUUUAUAAUGCCACUUAAGUAAAAGACAAGAGGCAGAGGUUUAAUAAAAUGGUUUAUCACUGCAGAAACAGUUAAAUAUUUCUUACAAAAUGAGCAGGACCUUACAAAUGCACUUAAGACUUUGCUUUUUCUAGUUAUCUCACCUUAUAUGAAUGAAGCAACAGAAAUGUAAUCAUCACCAUUUAUAAACUGUACAUAACAGUUCAUUGCUGUUCUGUGCUUUCCUGGUCUUUGUCAGAAUAAUGGACACAAAAUGGACACAAAUGGAACACAAAAUCAACAAAGCCAUCAUAUCCCCACCAAAAAGAAACACAAAGCACAUACUGAAGGUCUGAUGUUCAAUACGAACAAUUUUAUGUUUUCUUUAAAGAGAUGGUCGGUGUCAACUUUAAAGAUUGUCCAUAGCAUCAGUAGUAAUAAAUAGCCUAAAUAAAUGACAGCGGAUCACCUGACUAGAAAUUAAAGUAAAGCCUGGUUUUGUCCUUUUCACACAUCCCUGGUUUUGCUUAUAGUGAAUGAAAUCAUUUUGAAGUUCGUAUCUGUGCUGCACCCAGUUUUGGCAGCUUUAAUGAACAGAGUAUAAAUAUUUUCAAAUUGCUUUUCAAAAUGCUCUGUAACUCCCUAGUUCAUUUUUCUUUUUAAUUUUCUGUAUAAAAGCAACACUUGGA